Molecule: ribosomal RNA, 445 nt
Filed under: uncultured bacterium
Lineage: Bacteria
Description: bacterial SSU rRNA
Rfam family: Bacterial small subunit ribosomal RNA
Source: RNAcentral
ACUCCUACGGGAGGCAGCAGGAGGGAAUAUUGGUCAAUGGGCGAAAGCCUGAACCAGCCAUGCCGCGUGUCAGAUGAAGGUCCUCUGGAUUGUAAAUGACUUUUCUACGGGAAGAAUGAGCCGUCUGCGGACGGAAGUUGACGGUACCGUAGGAAUAAGCACCGGCUAACUACGUGCCAGCAGCCGCGGUAAUACGUAGGGGUGCAAGCGUUGUCCGGAUUUACUGGGUUUAAAGGGUACGUAGGCGGUUGUGCCAAGUCUGGGGUGAAAGUUUGCAGCUCAACUGUAAAAUUGCCUUGGAUACUGGUCGGCUAGAGUAGUGGAGCGGUGGCUGGAAUUUAUAGUGUAGCGGUGAAAUGCUUAGAUACUAUGAGGAACACCAAUUGCGAAGGCAGGUCACUGGUCACUAACUGACGCUGAGGUACGAAAGUGUGGGGAUCAAACA